Long non-coding RNA from Hyla sarda, 408 nucleotides. RefSeq lists it as uncharacterized. The transcript is spliced from 3 exons. The record is from RefSeq and is a predicted model, not a curated record. Lineage: Eukaryota; Metazoa; Chordata; Amphibia; Anura; Hylidae.
GGGAUUUUCGCACAGCUCAGCUUUCACUUUACCUCAGCUUGUCAGCUGAGCUGUGAUUGGCUGCUGUGGGAAAAUCCCUCAAUUUUUUCUCUCACACAGCUUAAUAAAUUUGGGCCUAUGGAUCUAUUGUGAGCCAAGAAAGCAAUCACAGCAAACGGAUGACAGGACCGCGCAGACAGGAAAUAUCCAUCCACUGUACAGAUGAAUGGUAAAUGUUAGAGAAAUCGGGUCCAAUGGCAAGGAGCACCAGUGAUCACCAUAUCUUCAUCUCUUCUCUUGAGGUCUCCUAUUAAUCACAAUGCUGCAACAUUGUGAGGGCGGAAGUUGUCCCCCAGCGGGCUUCAGUGAUGUCAUGCCUGCUGUGAAAGCCCACUUUUUCCUGCUAGGAAAUUGCACUAUGUGAGCAAG